RNAcentral lists this ribosomal RNA (292 nucleotides) under uncultured microorganism. RNAcentral describes it as "partial 16S ribosomal RNA". It matches the Rfam family "Bacterial small subunit ribosomal RNA", at positions 505 to 796 of the family's 1533-position model. The record is from RNAcentral.
GUGCCAGCAGCCGCGGUAAUACGUAGGGGGCAAGCGUUGUCCGGAAUUAUUGGGCGUAAAGCGCGCGCAGGCGGUCCUUUAAGUCUGAUGUGAAAGCCCACGGCUUAACCGUGGAGGGUCAUUGGAAACUGAGGGACUUGAGUACAGAAGAGGAGAGUGGAAUUCCAUGUGUAGCGGUGAAAUGCGUAGAUAUAUGGAGGAACACCAGUGGCGAAGGCGACUCUCUGGUCUGUUACUGACGCUGAGGCGCGAAAGCGUGGGGAGCAAACAGGAUUAGAUACCCUGGUAGUCC